AGCGUACACGGUGGAUGCCCUGGCAGUCAGAGGCGAUGAAGGACGUGCUAAUCUGCGAAAAGCGUCGGUAAGGUGAUAUGAACCGUUACAGCCGGCGAUGUCCGAAUGGGGAAACCCAGUGCAAUUCGUUGCACUAUCGUUAACUGAAUACAUAGGUUAACGAGGCGAACCGGGGGAACUGAAACAUCUAAGUACCCCGAGGAAAAGAAAUCAACCGAGAUUCCCCCAGUAGCGGCGAGCGAACGGGGAGCAGCCCAGAGUCUGAAUCAGCUUGUGUGUUAGUGGAACGGUCUGGAAAGUCCGACGGUACAGGGUGAUAGUCCCGUACACCAAAAUGCACAGGCUGUGAACUCGAAGAGUAGGGCGGGACACGUGGUAUCCUGUCUGAAUAUGGGGGGACCAUCCUCCAAGGCUAAAUACUCCUGACUGACCGAUAGUGAACCAGUACCGUGAGGGAAAGGCGAAAAGAACCCCGGCGAGGGGAGUGAAAAAGAACCUGAAACCGUGUACGUACAAGCAGUGGGAGCACCUUCGGGUGUGACUGCGUACCUUUUGUAUAAUGGGUCAGCGACUUAUAUUCUGUAGCAAGGUUAACCGUAUAGGGGAGCCGCAGGGAAACCGAGUCUUAACUGGGCGUUAAGUUGCAGGGUAUAGACCCGAAACCCGGUGAUCUAGCCAUGGGCAGGUUGAAGGUUGGGUAACACUAACUGGAGGACCGAACCGACUAAUGUUGAAAAAUUAGCGGAUGACUUGUGGCUGGGGGUGAAAGGCCAAUCAAACCGGGAGAUAGCUGGUUCUCCCCGAAAGCUAUUUAGGUAGCGCCUCGUGAACUCAUCUUCGGGGGUAGAGCACUGUUUCGGCUAGGGGGUCAUCCCGACUUACCAACCCGAUGCAAACUACGAAUACCGAAGAAUGUUAUCACGGGAGACACACGGCGGGUGCUAACGUCCGUCGUGAAGAGGGAAACAACCCAGACCGCCAGCUAAGGUCCCAAAGUCAUGGUUAAGUGGGAAACGAUGUGGGAAGGCACAGACAGCCAGGAUGUUGGCUUAGAAGCAGCCAUCAUUUAAAGAAAGCGUAAUAGCUCACUGGUCGAGUCGGCCUGCGCGGAAGAUGUAACGGGGCUAAACCAUGCACCGAAGCUGCGGCAGCGACACUAUGUGUUGUUGGGUAGGGGAGCGUUCUGUAAGCCUGCGAAGGUGUGCUGUGAGGCAUGCUGGAGGUAUCAGAAGUGCGAAUGCUGACAUAAGUAACGAUAAAGCGGGUGAAAAGCCCGCUCGCCGGAAGACCAAGGGUUCCUGUCCAACGUUAAUCGGGGCAGGGUGAGUCGACCCCUAAGGCGAGGCCGAAAGGCGUAGUCGAUGGGAAACAGGUUAAUAUUCCUGUACUUGGUGUUACUGCGAAGGGGGGACGGAGAAGGCUAUGUUAGCCGGGCGACGGUUGUCCCGGUUUAAGCAUGUAGGCUGGUUGUCCAGGCAAAUCCGGAUAAUCAAGGCUGAGGUGUGAUGACGAGGCACUACGGUGCUGAAGUAACAAAUGCCCUGCUUCCAGGAAAAGCCUCUAAGCAUCAGGUAACAUCAAAUCGUACCCCAAACCGACACAGGUGGUCAGGUAGAGAAUACCAAGGCGCUUGAGAGAACUCGGGUGAAGGAACUAGGCAAAAUGGUGCCGUAACUUCGGGAGAAGGCACGCUGGUGUGUAGGUGAAGCCCCUGCGGGUGGAGCUGAGACCAGUCGAAGAUACCAGCUGGCUGCAACUGUUUAUUAAAAACACAGCACUGUGCAAACACGAAAGUGGACGUAUACGGUGUGACGCCUGCCCGGUGCCGGAAGGUUAAUUGAUGGGGUUAUCCGUAAGGAGAAGCUCUUGAUCGAAGCCCCGGUAAACGGCGGCCGUAACUAUAACGGUCCUAAGGUAGCGAAAUUCCUUGUCGGGUAAGUUCCGACCUGCACGAAUGGCGUAAUGAUGGCCAGGCUGUCUCCACCCGAGACUCAGUGAAAUUGAACUCGCUGUGAAGAUGCAGUGUACCCGCGGCAAGACGGAAAGACCCCGUGAACCUUUACUAUAGCUUGACACUGAACAUUGAGCCUUGAUGUGUAGGAUAGGUGGGAGGCUUUGAAGCGUGGACGCCAGUCUGCGUGGAGCCAACCUUGAAAUACCACCCUUUAAUGUUUGAUGUUCUAACGUUGGCCCCUGACCGGGGUUGCGGACAGUGUCUGGUGGGUAGUUUGACUGGGGCGGUCUCCUCCCAAAGCGUAACGGAGGAGCACGAAGGUUAGCUAAUCCUGGUCGGACAUCAGGAGGUUAGUGCAAUGGCAUAAGCUAGCUUGACUGCGAGCGUGACGGCGCGAGCAGGUGCGAAAGCAGGUCAUAGUGAUCCGGUGGUUCUGAAUGGAAGGGCCAUCGCUCAACGGAUAAAAGGUACUCCGGGGAUAACAGGCUGAUACCGCCCAAGAGUUCAUAUCGACGGCGGUGUUUGGCACCUCGAUGUCGGCUCAUCACAUCCUGGGGCUGAAGUAGGUCCCAAGGGUAUGGCUGUUCGCCAUUUAAAGUGGUACGCGAGCUGGGUUUAGAACGUCGUGAGACAGUUCGGUCCCUAUCUGCCGUGGGCGCUGGAGAAUUGAGGGGGGCUGCUCCUAGUACGAGAGGACCGGAGUGGACGCAUCACUGGUGUUCGGGUUGUCAUGCCAAUGGCACUGCCCGGUAGCUAAAUGCGGAAGAGAUAAGUGCUGAAAGCAUCUAAGCACGAAACUUGCCCCGAGAUGAGUUCU
This 2771-nucleotide ribosomal RNA is filed under the name Klebsiella pneumoniae subsp. pneumoniae. RNAcentral's name for it is "bacterial LSU rRNA". It matches the Rfam family "Bacterial large subunit ribosomal RNA". The record is from RNAcentral. Lineage: Bacteria; Pseudomonadati; Pseudomonadota; Gammaproteobacteria; Enterobacterales; Enterobacteriaceae.